Molecule: transfer RNA, 62 nt
Filed under: Pachybothrium hutsoni
Lineage: Eukaryota; Metazoa; Platyhelminthes; Cestoda; Tetraphyllidea; Onchobothriidae
Description: tRNA-Ser
Source: RNAcentral
AGAGAGAAAAUGGUAAAAUUACUGCUAAUAAUUUUCUGUCGAUUUAAUUCCGACUUUCUCUU